Molecule: long non-coding RNA, 1439 nt
Organism: Gadus morhua (Atlantic cod)
Lineage: Eukaryota; Metazoa; Chordata; Actinopteri; Gadiformes; Gadidae
Source: Ensembl
GCACUUGUGCUUAUCAGCGAGAAAUUGAGAACUACUAUUAAGAAGAUGAGAACUUCAACACGGAUCUCCCAAGCCGGUGGCAGCGGCUCGGGCGAGGCCGCGGACAAACGGCCCUUUUCAGGGCCACCUGAGAGCGCUCCUAGAGCUAGGUCCUUUUCAGGACUCCUAUGCGCCUCCUGUCCCGCCUCCCUGGCACCGGGUGACGGGCACUUGUCGUGCUUUUGGUGCCUCGGCGCCGACCACGCCGCGGCUGCUAUGGCGGCCCCCGUCUCCUGUGUCGCCUGCCGGGAGCUCCCUGAAGAGGGGAUCCUCUCCAGGCAUCUCUUCUUUUCCCCUGCGGUGGGAAUGGCUGACGCCAUCGACCUAUUCGGACCUGACGUCGACGAUGGCAUCAUCGACGCCUCCCUGGACGACGUCUUCGGCGACUCGGCGUCCGGUUUUUCCCGCUCUCAGAUUACAACCGCCACCGUCAUACAACACGAGGGUCCGCGCCGGAUGACCGAUCUCUUCCGGGAGAUCAUGGGUGAGGCGGCGGCCAUCAAAGGGAUUCCCAUGCCGGCCCCGCCUCUCGCCCCCGUAUCUGACGAUAUGCAGGGCGAGCGCUUUCGCACCCCAUCUUUUUCCCGGCGGGUUACCCAGUGCCCCUUGUUCCCGCCUUUGCAGCACUUGUUUAUUGCUGCCGGUGAGGACCCUUCGACCCUGAAGGCUCCGGUAAGAUCCUACACGGAUGUCACCAACUUGGAGGGGUGGGCCGAUACUCAGGCGAGGGGGAUCCCUCGUCUGGAGCCUCCCCUGGCAGCGCUUCUCUGUCCGGGCGCCGGAUGGCUCCUUAACGAAAAGCCGCUGCCCCCCGACCGCCUCCAGAAGCAGAUUGUCGGCCUAACGGACAGGGUGUUCGUUUGUGCCUCUCAAUCCGCGGCGGCGGUCAACAACAUCGCCCUGCUCUCCUCUGCCAUGGUCUCCUUGUCGGCUGACAGGGAGGCCUACGGCCCGGAGGAAGCCGCGAGAUGGCUGGCGGUUUCCCGCUUCUCCAGCGCCAUCCUUCAGUUAUGCCAGCCGAUAGCCGUUUCGGCCGGCCAGCAUAUGGCGUGGGCUACCAUGAUUCAAAGGGUCAUAUGGCUCUCCCACACUGCGGUGCCGGAACGAGAGCGGGCCAGCCUCGUCCAGGGUCCACUAGCGCCGGAUGGACUAUUUGGUCCCAGGUUCUCCGAGGUGCUCGCGCACCAGCAGUCAGUCCGUGAGAAUCGUUCCCGGUUUGGGACGAUUCUCACGGGCUCCUCCCGCCAGCAGGCUGAGAGGAAGCGGGGUCUAGGCCGGUCCCAGCGUUCCAUGGGGCCGCCUCCGACUCCAGCCCCGGUGCAGCAGCCGCAGCCGCCGCGCACGGGGAGAGCAGCAGCGCCACGGACCGGGAAGUUCCUGACGCUUGCUCCUACUUUUUC